RNAcentral lists this ribosomal RNA (404 nucleotides) under uncultured prokaryote. Its description in RNAcentral is "bacterial SSU rRNA". It matches the Rfam family "Bacterial small subunit ribosomal RNA", at positions 355 to 774 of the family's 1533-position model. The record is from RNAcentral.
UGGGGAAUAUUGCACAAUGGGCGAAAGCCUGAUGCAGCAACGCCGCGUGAGGGAAGACGGUUUUCGGAUUGUAAACCUCUGUCUUCGGUGAAGAAAAAAAUGACGGUAGCCGAGGAGGAAGCUCCGGCUAACUACGUGCCAGCAGCCGCGGUAAUACGGAGGGAGGAAGCGGUGGCAGGAAUUAAUGGGUGUAAAGGGGGCGUAGGCGGGAUGACAAGUCAGCUGUGAAUUACAGGGGCUUAACCCAUGAACUGCAUUUGAAACUGUGUUCUUGAGUGAAGUAGAGGCAGGCGGAAUUCCGAGUGUAGCGGUGAAAUGCGUAGAUAUUCGGAGGAACACCAGUGGCGAAGGCGGCCUGCUGGGCUUUAACUGACGCUGAGGCUCGAAAGUGUGGGGAGCAAACA